This 411-nucleotide ribosomal RNA is filed under the name uncultured bacterium. RNAcentral describes it as "bacterial SSU rRNA". It matches the Rfam family "Bacterial small subunit ribosomal RNA", at positions 355 to 763 of the family's 1533-position model. The record is from RNAcentral.
UGAGGAAUAUUGGUCAAUGGGCGCAAGCCUGAACCAGCCAUCCCGCGUGCAGGAAGACGGCCCUAUGGGUUGUAAACUGCUUUUCCAGGGGGAGAAUUUUUCUGUCGUGACAGGAAUUGACGGUACCCUGGGAAUAAGCAUCGGCUAACUCCGUGCCAGCAGCCGCGGUAAUACGGAGGAUGCGAGCGUUAUCCGGAUUUAUUGGGUUUAAAGGGUGCGUAGGCGGAUAGAUAAGUCAGUGGUGAAAACCUGCAGCUUAACUGUAGACUUGCCGUUGAUACUGUCAGUCUUGAGUGUGGUCAAGGUAGGCGGAAUGUGUAAUGUAGCGGUGAAAUGCUUAGAUAUUACACAGAACACCGAUUGCGAAGGCAGCUUACUGGGCCAUUACUGACGCUGAUGCACGAAAGCGUG